Molecule: long non-coding RNA, 6195 nt
Organism: Mus musculus (house mouse)
Lineage: Eukaryota; Metazoa; Chordata; Mammalia; Rodentia; Muridae
Product: predicted gene, 40713
Exons: 4
Source: RefSeq, a predicted model, not a curated record
GCUUCUCCUGUGGGUGCAGACCAGGUCAGGACAACCCCGGUCCCGGGACCACAACCACCCCGGUGUUACCCAGAAGACUCAGCACCCCUGCGAACCAGCACUGCCAGACUGAAAUUACAGCGAUGCACAACACCCUUGGCCUGGGGUGAAGCUUCCCAGAACGCCCGCUUAAGGCUUCUCUGUACCUCUCGGGGCCUCAGUUUCCCCAUCUGUGCGACUCAGGAGCAGGAGACGCAUGUAACUCUGAGCUGGCCUAGGACCACAGCAGGGAGGCGGUCGGUCCUGCAACCCCCACCGGAGAGCUGCCUCCACCCAAGUCCACCCAGACAACCUGGAGCCAGCGACAUCUCCCCACCCCCAACCCUCGGGUUUAGUUUCCUGACCUCACUAAGGCCUGUGAAGUGACCGGCUCCCACGCCCUGACAGGUGACCCUGGACAGCCUGCUCCCUUCCUGGCAGGAAGCACCUUCCCCUCAGUGCCUCCCUGGGGGCCUGGUAGAGCGAGCCCACACUGAUUUAUCUAUUUUUACAGGCCUGGGAAUGGAAUCCAGGAACUUUUUUUACCUGAUAAGCAGGGUCUCUACACCUGACCCCGCCCCCCAGCUCAUCAUUGGGGGAUUCUAGGCGUGGGGUGGGGGGUGUCCAUCUCUGACCACACCUCCAGCCCCCUCACUGAGGGAUUCUAGGCGGGGACCCAAUCUCUGACCACUUUGUGUGCAUGCACAUUUGUACACACAUAGACACAUGGGUGUGGAAAUCAGAGGCCGAUCUCUGGUGUUAUUCCUCCGUCACUACCCAGCUUGGUUUAUAAGACAGUUUGUCACUGGCGAGGAGCUCCCUGGUGAGGUUAGGUUGGCUAGCCAACUGUCACCCACACCCCAAUUACUGGGGUUCCAAGCACAGGCCACCACACGGCCAUACCUGGCUUUAACAUGGGAGCCAAGAUUGACCUCAGGUCCUAGUGCAUAGGCAACACUACCAACUGAAGAACCUCCACUGCCUCUCACUGGUAUAGUGAGAUAGGGUCUCAGGGAGCUGCCCAUGCUAGUCUGAAACAUGCAAUCCUCCUGCCUCAGCCUCAGCGAGGCUGGCUUCCACAGUGGGUUUCGGGAGAGGCUGGUCUCAGCUUGGCUUUGGGGACCUUACAGGGUCCAUGGGAGCAGUCUUUCUUGGCUACUUUCUUCCUAUGAGGCCCACUUCUUAUUUCCUUACAGCCCCAAAUGUCCCUGACCAAGCCAGACUUUUACUGUCCCCUCCCACUUCUCUGCCUCCCUGCAACCGCUCUAUACCCAACAACCCAAACUACCUUCUCAUAACAACAACCCAACCCUGCCUCUCUCCUUCACUCACAUCAUCCAGUGAGAAGUCUGGGUCUGGUGUGGCCAACUUGCCUGGGUCCCGGGUCUCCCUACCUCCCUACACCCAGGCCUUUGCAUCUCCUGGGAGCCGCCUGCUGAGUUCUCUCAAGGUGGAAUGCUGUGUGCAGAGGGGCUAGACACAGAGGGGCUGCUGUGCAGGCAGAGGUCACUCAGCACUCCCUCCUUUGUCCUUCUAGGAAGAGCGCAGAGGUGAGAAGGCCUUCUCCAAGGCCAUCUCUUUUUUUUUUUUCGAGACAGGGUUUCUCUUUAUAGCCCUGGCUGUCCUGGAACUCACUCUGUAGACCAGGCUGGCCUCGAACUCAGAAAUUCGCCUGCCUCUGCCUCCCGAGUGCUGGGAUUAAAGGCGUGCGCCACCACGCCCGGCCCCAAGGCCAUCUCUUAACCCCAGGACCUGGGAGGCAGCAGGCGGCUACAUAGUGAGUUCCUAGAGCUACAUAGUGAGACUGUUUAAAAAUAAAAUCCAGGGGCUAAAGAGAUGGCUCAGCAGUUAAGAGCACUGACUGCUCUUCCAGAGGUCCGGAGUUCAAUUCUCAGCAACCACAUGGUGGUUCCUAAGCAUCUGUAGUGAGAUCUAACGGCCUCUUCUGGAGUGUCUGAAGACAGCUACAGUGUACUUACAUAUAAUAUAAAAUUGAAAAGAUUAAAGACCCUCGGGAAGAAGGGCCACGCUGAACUACCCACCCAGUGUCUAACUCCCCCCAUCAAAGAAUCAGGUGGCCACAGGCGGGACAUAGGGACAGCUGUGGGCGGGUGAGACAACAAAGCCGUCAGUGUCCUCAGCUGGACGGCCUGUCCCCAGUCCAGGGCCUGAUGAAAGUCAAGCGGACACAGCCAGCCGACAUAGAGGCAAUGUCCCAAGAAGACAACUUCCAUCCCUCAGUCCCUUCCUUUUCCAUAUUGUCGCUGCUUGGUCACAAGUACAGUGCGCGCAGCUGAGCCCUCCCUGCGCACCCCUCCCCACCCCCAGGCGCCACUGCCACGGUGGAUGGCGGGCCCGCGGGAGGCGGUCGCCCUGGCAACCUCGCUGUCCCCAUGGCAACGCGAGGCCCCGAGUGUGGAGGUGGAGCCUGCGCUGAGCAUCCACCCCCGGCCCAGUGCUAGGGGGCUGCGAGACAUCCAGUAGCUUUAAGGGGUGCGGGGAGAGGGCGUUUUACUCCUAUUUUGGUUUUGGCGUGCCCACACAUCUCCCUAGAAAGGGUCCGGACAAGGCAAUGAAGGUUAAGAGGGAAGAAAUAUGCAAAUCAUUAAGCCCAAAUCAUAUCUACAGGCGCAGCCUGUGAUUUCAGCAAUAGACACACUGAGGCAGGAGGAUAGUGAGUUCAAAGCCAGCCUGAAAAACUUGGUGUGACCCGGUAUCAAAAUACAGAGUGAAAAGAGACUUUGGGGCUGAGGUAGAGAUGGUGGGAGUUGCUCCAAACAUGUAAGAGGCCCAGGUCAUCCCCGCAUUCAGGAGGAUGGGGUUCCGGGAGUCAGUUCAAGGUCAUCCCUAGUUACACAGAGAGCUGGGAAGCAGCCUGGGCUAUGUGGGACUCUUAUCUCCAAAAAUAAAAAUAAAAAUAAGCAGGGACAUAGUGGCAAAAGCCUUUAAUCCCAGCACCCCAGAGGCAGGCAAAUCUCUGAGUUCGAGACCAGCUUGGUCUACAGAGCAAGUUCUGGGAAAGAGAAACAAUGUCUCAAAAAACAAACCAAACCAAAACAAAAAAGGUUUUAUUUUAUAUGUGUGUGUGUGUGCAAAUAGAGCGGGGCACAGUGGCGGAUGUCUACCAUCCCUGUGCUUGGGAGGCUAAGCAAGGGAACUUUCAGUAAGCUUGAGGCCAGCCUGGGCUACACACACCCUGCGAGAAACCCCCGUGGGAUGACCUUUGGAUUGGGGUAGGGGCUGGGAAACACCAAAUAGAGGCCAUAUCUACAAAGGUCUUGUAUAAGCAUGGAGAAGCUGACAUUUAGUUUUAGUGAGACAGAUGGCGUGCUGCCAGCUGUGUGUCCCCAGCCAGGUGACUUGUGGUCUCUGCUGAGCCUGUCCUGGUGCCUCUGGAGAUGGAGACAGUGGGCACCAGCUCGGAGCACCCCAUGCCCAUUCAGCCUGCCACUCAAGGAGUCGCACCUUCUGGGGAUUAUUUUCGGGCACCCAGUGGGGGAUCUGGGCUCCUUUGCUGCUUUGUGUGGGCGGUUGAGGACCAGGGAGGGCCUCAUCUCCCAGCUCCUGAGAUAAUUCAGCUCCAGAUGAGAUAAUGGGAAGCCAGUGACAGCCCAGCCCAAGCCUUGGCUUCCAGUUUUGUUUUUGCAAGGCCCAGAGAGGUUAUGCAACAGGCCCAAGGUCACCCAGCGGCCAGGGCGGCUCAGGCAGGGAUGGGGUGGGGGAGGGGCACAGGGGGUGUUGACCAUGCUUCUCCUUCCACAGCCUGGGCAGCUCCAGUGUCCGGCAGGGCAGCAAUGAGAGGGAUCAAGCUGGUCAGGCAUGGAGCCCAGUGCCCAGAACAUUCCUGAAGCUAAAUGAAAGGAAAGCGCUGAUGGUAACCUUGGCCGGGAGGGGAGGGGGCGGUGAUGAGUGGGGACUGACAGGGCAGCCCUUCCCCCACUGAAGCCUCCAGUGUGGGGUUGCCCAAUCCACCUGUCUGGCACCCCCUCCCCUCGGAGCACCCCGUGUCUCCUGGGCUCUUACUAUUUGACACAUUUAGAAACACGCAAACCACCACCACCACCACCCCAGGCUCUAAACCCUAACCUAACCCUAUCCCUUAGGCUGGCUUUCCCUUCUUUUCAUCAGCUCCAGCCUUUCCAUCCCCCAAGAUAAGCUGGGCACAGCCUCUUCCCCCAGGGAGCUCUGCAGGGAGUCUCCUCAGGCUGGAGGGGAGACUCAGUCAUCUCCCAGCAGGGCAGGCCCAUGCCAGGGGAAUGGAGACUUUGGCCACUAACCUGUGGUUGGAUGAGAAGCUGGACCCUGCCCUGGAUCCUCACAGCAGGGUCUCGGGUAACCCAGGGCACAGCUGGACUUUGUACGAAGCCAAGGAUGACCGGGAAUUCCUGACCCUCCUGCCUGUGUCCCAUCCAUGCCUGCUUUCUGUGAUGCUGGGAAUGGAGCCCAGGGUUCAUGCGAUGCCAGGAGAGUGGCCUCUCCAAGGGACCUCAGCCCCAGAAGCACUGCAUGCUGCAUACUCGACCUGCUUCAGGAGGGACCACCGCAGGGCCAGGUACAAAGUCAUCCCUUCCUCCAAGGCCCGAGCAAGAACAGGCGUGGGUCCCCAUCCAUCUCCUAGUACUGCCCUGAGACUUCUACAAAUGGAGGAUUUGAACACAAAUGGACAAAGUGGUGUGAAAAGGGCUUGCUGCACAGCAUGAGGACCCGAGUUCAAACCCCCAGCACCCACAUAAAAAAGACAAAGUAUGGUGGUAUGGGCUUGUCAUCCCAGCCCUGAAAAGGCAGAAACAGAAGAAUCCCUGGAGCCCAUUGGCCAGUCAACACACCUUAACUAAUAAGUUCCAGCCCAACGAGAGACGCUGUUUCAAAAUGUAAGGUGGUGGCUCACGCCUUGAUCCCAGCACUUGAGAAGCAGAGACAUGCUGAUCUCUGUAAGUUUGAGGCCAGCCUGGUCUGUUUAUCAAGUACUAGGACAGCCAGAGCAUAGAGGGAACUUGUCUCAAAACAAAACCACCAACCAAACAACAGUGAUUACAAACAAACCCACAAACAAAUGAGAAAAAGAAAAAAGACAAAGGAUGUGGUCUCAUCUUCCCGUGGUAGGUGUCAGACUCCAGCCUCUGUGCUCCCCGAUUCCCCACAUCUCCAUCUAGCCUCUGCCUCCUUGCUGGGUGCCAAAGGCCUGGCCACACCCUCCACAGCUGUUUCUCACAUCUGGUUCCACCGGGCUGCUUCCUCCCAGAAAUCCAAGCUGGGGCUUGGGCUCCACUAUCACCAGUCUGACCCAGGGUCAGGCACGCUCGCACGUUCUGGCUCCCGGGGCCCAGCCUGCCCCCCCUCGCCCCACCGCGCCUUUGCUGCUCAGACACCAACGGUGGCUACACAGCCUGCAGGCGUUGGGACCUAAGCGCACACGCCAGUCUAGCCAGCAGGUGCGCCAGUCUGUCUGAGUGGCAGGUCCUGGAGAAUCCUUUACAGAAAAGGCUCAGAUGGGAUAGACGGAAACAAAACAAAAACAUUUCUUAGACUAGGAGACUGAGGCAGGAGGGUGGAGAAUUUGAAGUUAGCCUGUGCUACACAGUAAAAGCCUGCCUUGGGGAGGGGAGCAUCUUAAAAAAAAAAGUCAGAAAGCUGAGGCAGGAGGAUUAAGAAAUUGAGAUUGAUGCCACUCUGGGCUUCAUGUCUCAAAAAAAAACCAAAGAGCAUAAAACAUAAAACAAAGACCAUAAAACAGCAAGGACAAGGCUGGCAAGAUGGAUCAAGCGAAGAAGGUGUUUCCCACGAAGCUGCAGGACCUGGGUUCAAUUCCUAGAACCCAUGGGUUGGACAGACAGGUUGACCUGCAAGUCCUUUGACCACCCCCCCCCACAUGUGUCAUGUCCUCACAAUAAUAACAAACUAAAAACACAACAACAAAAAUCUCUAAAUAAAGAAACUAUACUCAACAUUUCUCCAGCCACCUUCCCUGUUCUGAGGCUGGUCGGCCAGUCUGCUAACUCCUUCCUUAAAAACCCACAUUUAGGGGGCCAGCGAGAUGGCUGUAGAAGGGCUUGCUGUCAAGCCUGCCCACCUGCGUUCAAUCCCCAGAACCCACGUGGUGGAAGGAGAGAACUGACUUCUGAAAGUCAGACUCCCUCCAACUUGCUUACUUGCCCACACACUCUCCCACACUACACA